CGGCGUUACGAGAAAUCGAAGCCCUCCGCCGCCAUUGAUGGGUUGAUGAAUCCAAAUGGGUUCUCGAAUUAUAUGCUUUUUUAUCAAAGGAUUCAAUGAGGAAUUGAGGAUUGUUGUUGGAACUUGGGCGUUGGAUGUGGUUUUAAUUUGAAAUUUAUUGCGGAUGUCAUGUUUAUGUUGUUUUGGAGUAUUUGAUUUUUGGAAUUUGGAUGUCUUGGACUUUCGGAUAUUGUGUAUGUGGAUUUCAUUUUUAGAUGUUGGAGGACGAUGUAAUAUUGUUAUUUUGGAUGUAUUGUUAAAACUUAAUUUAUGAACUUGGAUAUUAGACUUUGUAUUUAGAUUA
Molecule: long non-coding RNA, 343 nt
Organism: Malus domestica (apple)
Lineage: Eukaryota; Viridiplantae; Streptophyta; Magnoliopsida; Rosales; Rosaceae
Source: RefSeq, a predicted model, not a curated record